AAGCAGAGAUAAAAACGCAACGCACAUUCUCGGAUGUGCCAGAGCCGGUAGGUAGCCCGGCCGUCCUGUAAUGGUUUACAGGGUAAGUAACCUGCCCCUCCGGGUUGUCCGUUCUUUGCUCAUU
RNAcentral lists this non-coding RNA (124 nucleotides) under human gut metagenome. Its description in RNAcentral is "yjdF RNA". It matches the Rfam family "azaaromatic riboswitch aptamer (yjdF RNA)". The record is from RNAcentral.